AAAAGCAAAAAGGGAAAAGUGGUGUGUGUAUAUGUCUUCACCCCCUUUACUAUGAAGCCACUAAAUAAGAUCUGGUGCAACCAACUACCUUCAGGGGCCUGUUGCACAAAAGUAGAAUUAAGACAUCCGGGAUAAAUGACUAAGCUGAGCUCAAUGAAGCCAAAACAUGUGCGUCCAGGCUUAAUUGGUUGCACAAAGACCAAACCAGGAUGAGCAGACACGGAUUCAUUAAGCCGGGUGAAACCAAUCCUGGAUAGGUGCGCGCUCACGGCUCACUCAAAUAGACCCCGCCACAGAUCACAGAUUAACUGAUUUACCAUGGCAACUAGAGCCGCGUACUUUUCCGGUCGGAAGCACAAAUCCUCAUGGAGGCAUACGAGGAGGUAAAAUAUAUAAUUAAGAAGAAAGGCAACACCGCCACAGUGAUAAAGCAAAGAGAAAAAGCGUGGCAAAGUAUUGCAGACCGCCUGAAUGCAUGGUCUGCAAUGCUGACUGUGUGAUCAGCAAUGUUGUGGCAAAAUGGCCUGGCUCAGUCCAUGACUCCAGAAUCUUUCGGGCCUCUGAAAUCUAUCAGUGCCUAUCACAAGGUGAAUUCUCUGGUGUGUUGCUGGGAGACAGGGGUAUGGCUGCCAGCCUUUUCUCCUGACACCUUUCACAGACCCCCAGGAAGCACAGCAGGCCUACAACCAUGCCCAUGCCAGGACCAGGGCCAGAGUUGAAAUGACCUUUGGCCUCCUGAAGGCACGCUUUCACUGCCUUCACAAAUUAAGGGUCAGCCCUGUUAGGGCAUGUGAUAUUACUGUGGCUUGUGCUGUCCUCCACAAUGUGGCCUGCCUGAGGAAGGAGAGGGCCCCCAGAGUGCCACCAGCCAUGGACUGGGACAAUCCGGCAAUCUUCCCUGAUGACGACAGUGGUCGGCUGCUGAGGGACCAAUAUGUGUUGAAUUAUUUUAGUUAGUAUGUGUGCUUUCAAUUUUGGUUAAAUAUGUCCUGUGGUGGCAGAGGAAUUUGGGUUUUUUGGGUUCGUUUUUUUACGAAUUUGGCCUCUUAUGAUGUUUGUGCGGUAUACUGUGUGUAAUACAAGGCUGCAGGGAGGCUACUGCAUCCAUUCAUUUGUCUGUUCAGUUGAUGUGUAUGGAUUUGUCCUGCAUUUAUUUUAGUGUGCAGACAUGCAGGGUGUGUUAUAUACAGACCUUUGAAUGUGUAUGUAUCAUUUUGUAUAAUAUGCUUGGAUUCUGUGCUUUCCAUCUUGUAGAGUCACUGUGACUUCAGUUUCGAAAGGAGCUGAUGGUUUACCUGCUUUGUUUUGUCCUUAUUCAAUAAAGGAACAUAAUGUUACACAUUGUGUUUUUAUAUUCAUAUGGAAUGUGUAUUUGUUUAUAUGACAGAGUACUAGGGCCACACUGAAGAAAAAGGAUAAAGUCAUACAUUUAUGAGGCUGGUUCUUUCUGCAGAAAAGCUACAUAUUGUUUUUACAGUUUUGAUACUUAUGACAAUGUGAUACUUAAUAUUCUGGCACAUCAGCAUGUCUUUGUUUAUGAAACCAUACUGAAGUACAAUUUCACGAAAUGCCCCGCAUCUGUCAUUUUAACAACUGUCCUCCUUUAAAACAACUGGUUACAAUAUUAUGACUUG
Molecule: long non-coding RNA, 1634 nt
Organism: Oncorhynchus keta (chum salmon)
Lineage: Eukaryota; Metazoa; Chordata; Actinopteri; Salmoniformes; Salmonidae
Exons: 3
Source: RefSeq, a predicted model, not a curated record